RNAcentral lists this ribosomal RNA (240 nucleotides) under uncultured bacterium. RNAcentral describes it as "partial 16S ribosomal RNA". It matches the Rfam family "Bacterial small subunit ribosomal RNA", at positions 94 to 334 of the family's 1533-position model. The record is from RNAcentral.
AGCGGCGGACGGGUGAGUAACGCGUGGGUAACCUGCCUCAUACAGGGGGAUAACAGUUAGAAAUGACUGCUAAUACCGCAUAAGACCACAGCACCGCAUGGUACGGUGUGAAAAACUCCGGUGGUAUGAGAUGGACCCGCGUCUGAUUAGGUAGUUGGUGGGGUAACGGCCUACCAAGCCGACGAUCUGUAGCCGACCUGAGAGGGUGACCGGCCACAUUGGGACUGAGACACGGCCCAA